Homo sapiens (human) is the source of this 2366-nucleotide long non-coding RNA. The record is from Ensembl. Lineage: Eukaryota; Metazoa; Chordata; Mammalia; Primates; Hominidae.
GAUUUCUGGCGUGAGCAGAGAGCACUUUGGGGAAGUAAGAAAGGCCCCCGAUCAUGGGUGCUGGACAUUUUCUGGAAGAAGGAUGAAGAGGGAGGGAGUGGCUGGAGCCGUGCUCUGGGUCACAUGGACAUUCGUGAUGCCCUCGCUGUAGGUGCCCGAGGUGCUGAGUCCAGGGCCUUCCAGUGCCAGCUUCAAGCGAUGGCCCUGCCACAUGCCUCUGUGUGAGCUCACACAGGUCACUUUCCUCUCUGAGCCUCAAGAGUUAUGAUAAACCAGAGAAACCCAACCUCCCAGGAGAGGUUCCCUUCCUCCUGGCAUCUCUGGCUUAAGACCUGCAGCCCUGGAAGCAGGCAUCGGAUUGGCUGGGCCCUGCUCUCACCCCUGCCAUGUGGUAGACCAGGCAGUGGCAGAGUCAGGUUGGAGCCCACCCUGGUCUUUGUCGUGUGAAAGGGCAGUGAGAGGGAGGCAAGGGGGAUCGCCCUCCUGCCAAGACUCUACCCAUCAGGAAAUUCCCCAAAAAGGAUGCUUCUCAGGAUGGAGGCAGGGGCUGGAGACCCACCAAUAUCACACAUGUGCAAUCUAGGCUGUUUGAUUUUAAAGUCCUUUUUAAAAAUUUUCUUUUGAGACAGAGUCUCACUCUGUCGCCCACGCUGGAGGGCAGUGGUGCAUUUCAUGGCUCACUGCAGCCUCCACCUCUGAGGUUCUAGUGAUUCUCCUGUCUCAGCCUCUCGAGUAGCUGGGAUUACAGGUGCACACCACCACACCCGGCUAAAUUUUGCAUUUUUACUAGAGACAGGGUUUCACCUUGUUGGCCAGGCUAGUCUCGAACUUCUGACCUCUGGUGAUCCAUGCACCUCAGCCUCCCAAAGUGCUGAGAUUACAGGCAUGACCCACCGCGCCCAGCCUAAAAGUCACUUUUUCAUCACUUUUUCAUCCACUGAUGUCAGCUUAGGCUGACAUCAAUGUGGUGAGGUGCAGAGGGUAUGGGCCAGGGGCUUUAAGGCUUAGGUCUUCCAGGGGGUGGCCAGGGGUUCUUGCUUUGGCCCUUCCCAAGAUUUCCAUCUGUGAAAUGUGUCUGUUGGGCCCAGCCUUCAGGGCAGUAGGAUUGUCUGAAAUUCUAGUGUUCAUCAGGGUUUACGCUGUCUAUCCUGUUUGUUUAUUUUUGAGACGGAGUCACUCGGUCGCUCAGGCUGGAGUGAAGUGGCAUGAUCUCGGCUCACUGCAACCUCCGCCUCCUGGGUUCAAGUGAUUCUCCUGCCUCAGCCUCCCAAGCAGGUGAGAUUACAGGCACCCACCACCAUACCCGGCUAAUUUUUGUAUUUUUACUAGAGGCGGGAUUUCACCAUGUUGGCCAGGCUGGUCUCGAACUCCUGACCUCAGGUGAUCCGCCUGCCUCGGCCUCCCAAAGUGCUGGGAUUAUAGGCGUGAGCCACCACACCCAGCCUAUUUAUUUAUUUGUUUAGAGACAGGGUCUCACUCUAUGGCCCAGGCUAGAGUACAGUUGCACGAUCAUAGCUCACUGCAGCCUCAGACUCCUGGGCUCAAGUGAUGCUCCACCUCGGCCUCACAACGUGCUAGGAUUACAGGAGUGAGCCACCGUGCCCAGCCAUACCACCUGGUGUUCUGGCCACGUCCCUACCCCCAACACUGGGCUUCAGGUUCCUUGGCCCUGGACAGAGGCCCAGUGAAUAAGAAGAGAGGGACAAGGCCAGCAGCAGGCCUGCCACCAAGGAGCCGGACAGUGCCCACCUUUCUCCUGGAAUGUUAGACCCAGGGGAGAUGGUGCUGAGGCUGGUUUCUUCCCCAAACUGCCUUCUCCUUUCCAUCUGCAAAAUGGGAAUAAGACACCUGUCAUCAGCCAUUGCGAUGCCACCGGGAUCUCACGGCAUGGCUCUGAGAGUCAUUGAAAAAGGCACCAAGCUCAGCAAAGGUGUUAUUACUAUUAUUAUUGACCAUAAAAUACUUGACAAAUGAUUGCAGAGUCUGCCAGAGAAGAGUCUGCCUGUCUGGGGAGAGAUUUUAGGGCUGCUUUAAGAGUCUUUUGGAAGCACAAACCCCAGCAGAGGGAGCCGGCUCCAUGGAAGCCUUCAGGAGCAGAGAGGCCCGGGGCUGGGAAGUCUUUGAUUACCUUACAUCUGUUUUUAUGGAAACUUCUGGGAGCAGCCGAGGGGAAACGGAACUGUAAACAGCACAGCCGGCGUGGCCUCCCCACCAGAUUGUUAAUGGGGAAUCGCCCGCGUGGCUCCCCUCGCUGGCGAGGGUUUGGCCCCUGGUCUGUGGCAGGAGUGAUUAAAGGAUAUGAGCACGCAGAGAGCAAACCCAGCCACAGAAGACGAAUCAGGGUUUUAUGCCCCUCGGUUCUGCGC